This 80-nucleotide small nucleolar RNA is filed under the name Carlito syrichta (Philippine tarsier). RNAcentral's name for it is "Small nucleolar RNA SNORD115 (ENSTSYG00000031509.1)". It matches the Rfam family "Small nucleolar RNA SNORD115". Rfam says of the family: HBII-52 is a member of the C/D class of snoRNAs, which contain the C (UGAUGA) and D (CUGA) box motifs. HBII-52 is encoded in a tandemly repeated array with another C/D snoRNA, HBII-85, in the Prader-Willi syndrome (PWS) region of chromosome 15. The record is from Rfam by way of RNAcentral. Lineage: Eukaryota; Metazoa; Chordata; Mammalia; Primates; Tarsiidae.
GUGUCAAUGAUGAAAUCUUUGCCUUGUCUCUAGAAAGGUGUUGUCUUAAGUGUCCUGAACAAUAAAGUUACGCUGAGGAC